GCGCUCGUAGCUCAGGGGAUAGAGCAUCGGUUUCCGGUACCGUGCGUCGGGGGUUCGAAUCCCUCCGAGCGCG
Molecule: transfer RNA, 73 nt
Filed under: Natronobacillus azotifigens
Lineage: Bacteria; Bacillati; Bacillota; Bacilli; Caryophanales; Bacillaceae
Also listed under: 1 other name
Rfam family: tRNA
About the family: Transfer RNA (tRNA) molecules are approximately 80 nucleotides in length. Their secondary structure includes four short double-helical elements and three loops (D, anti-codon, and T loops). Further hydrogen bonds mediate the characteristic L-shaped molecular structure. tRNAs have two regions of fundamental functional importance: the anti-codon, which is responsible for specific mRNA codon recognition, and the 3' end, to which the tRNAs corresponding amino acid is attached (by aminoacyl-tRNA synthetases). tRNAs cope with the degeneracy of the genetic code in two manners: having more than one tRNA (with a specific anti-codon) for a particular amino acid; and 'wobble' base-pairing, i.e. permitting non-standard base-pairing at the 3rd anti-codon position.
Source: Rfam by way of RNAcentral